UACGUAGGUGGCGAGCGUUGUCCGGAUUUAUUGGGCGUAAAGCGCGCGCAGGCGGUCGCGUAAGUCUGCUGUGAAAUCUCCCUGGCUCAACCGGGAGGGGGCGGCGGAGACUGCGGGACUGGAGGGACCUAGAGGCCGGUGGAAUUCCCGGUGUAGCAGUGAAAUGCGUAGAGACCCGGAGGAACACCAGUGGCGAAGGCGGCGUCCUGGCCUGCGACUGACGCUGUGGCGCGAAAGCUAGGGGAGCGAACGGG
Molecule: ribosomal RNA, 254 nt
Filed under: uncultured bacterium
Lineage: Bacteria
Description: partial 16S ribosomal RNA
Rfam family: Bacterial small subunit ribosomal RNA
Source: RNAcentral